CGGGAACGGGUGAGUAAGUAGUCUCGGGAAACGUAGCCGAUAGAGGGGAGUAAACACUGGAAACGGUAGCUAAUAACCGCAUAACGUACGCAAGACCGGAAAGGGGGGACCCUUCGGGCCUCUUGCCAUCGGAUGUGCCCAGAUGGGAUUAGCUAGUAGGUGGGGUAACGGCUCACCUAGGCGACGAUCCCUAGCUGGUCUGAGAGGAUGGCCAGCCACACUGGAACUGAGACACGGUCCAG
Molecule: ribosomal RNA, 242 nt
Filed under: uncultured bacterium
Lineage: Bacteria
Description: partial 16S ribosomal RNA
Rfam family: Bacterial small subunit ribosomal RNA
Source: RNAcentral